ACUGAAGUGGUCAUCGUGCAUACUGUUUCCUGCUCCGAAAGGAGUGGGUAACCGCUUGAACCCAUUUCGUGAUGGGGAUUGGGCAUUGUAAUUAUUGCCCAUGAAC
This 106-nucleotide non-coding RNA is filed under the name Tetranychus urticae (two-spotted spider mite). RNAcentral describes it as "Eukaryotic small subunit ribosomal RNA". It matches the Rfam family "Eukaryotic small subunit ribosomal RNA", at positions 1502 to 1604 of the family's 1831-position model. Lineage: Eukaryota; Metazoa; Arthropoda; Arachnida; Trombidiformes; Tetranychidae. The record is from Rfam by way of RNAcentral.